GUCCAGAUGACGAGUCCGAAAUAGGACGAAACGCGCGUCAUGGAU
This 45-nucleotide non-coding RNA is filed under the name Schistosoma mansoni. The record is from RNAcentral. Lineage: Eukaryota; Metazoa; Platyhelminthes; Trematoda; Strigeidida; Schistosomatidae.